This is a long non-coding RNA of Oreochromis niloticus (Nile tilapia), 196 nucleotides long. RefSeq lists it as uncharacterized. The transcript is spliced from 2 exons. The record is from RefSeq and is a predicted model, not a curated record. Lineage: Eukaryota; Metazoa; Chordata; Actinopteri; Cichliformes; Cichlidae.
GCUUCAUCACGGAGUUUCUCUCGGUUUGUGGGCUCAUCUAAAGGACUAACGUGGAGCGAGAAGUCAGCGCUCUCAGGAGGCCCACAAAUUUGUUGAAGAUAGAAAGGGAGGAAAAAAUACAGCUGUGACGAGUGUGGGAAAGAUUUUACUGUGAAAGCUUUACUAAAAAUGCAUCAGGUCAUCCACACUGGAGAGA